UGAACGCUAGCGGCAGGCUUAACACAUGCAAGUCGAGGGGUAUAUGCCUUCGGGUAUAGAGACCGGCGCACGGGUGCGUAACGCGUAUGCAACCUACCUUCCACAGGGGGAUAGCCCAGAGAAAUUUGGAUUAAUACCCCAUUGUAUUAUAAGGUGGCAUCACCAAUUAAUUAAAGUCACAACGGUGGAAGAUGGGCAUGCGUCCCAUUAGCUUGUUGGUAAGGUAACGGCUUACCAAGGCGACGAUGGGUAGGGGUCCUGAGAGGGAGAUCCCCCACACUGGUACUGAGACACGGACCAGACUCCUACGGGAGGCAGCAGUGAGGAAUAUUGGUCAAUGGGCGCAAGCCUGAACCGGCCAUGCCGCGUGCAGGAUGACGGUCCUAUGGAUUGUAAACUGCUUUUAUACGGGAAGAAACCCUGGCUCGUGAGCCAGAUUGACGGUACCGUAGGAAUAAGGAUCGGCUAACUCCGUGCCAGCAGCCGCGGUAAUACGGAGGAUCCAAGCGUUAUCCGGAAUCAUUGGGUUUAAAGGGUCCGUAGGCGGCCCGGUAAGUCAGUGGUGAAAUCUCCCCGCUCAACGGGGAAACGGCCAUUGAUACUGCCGGGCUUGAGUUGCCAGGAAGUAACUAGAAUAUGUAGUGUAGCGGUGAAAUGCUUAGAUAUUACAUGGAAUACCAAUUGCGAAGGCAGGUUACUACUGGCGUAUUGACGCUGAUGGACGAAAGCGUGGGUAGCAA
This 740-nucleotide ribosomal RNA is filed under the name uncultured soil bacterium. RNAcentral's name for it is "bacterial SSU rRNA". It matches the Rfam family "Bacterial small subunit ribosomal RNA", at positions 30 to 771 of the family's 1533-position model. The record is from RNAcentral.